GCGCAACCCUUAUCCUUUGUUGCCAGCGCGUGAUGGCGGGAACUCAAAGGAGACUGCCGGUGAUAAACCGGAGGAAGGUGGGGAUGACGUCAAGUCAUCAUGGCCCUUACGAGUAGGGCUACACACGUGCUACAAUGGCGCAUACAAAGAGAAGCGACCUCGCGAGAGCAAGCGGACCUCACAAAGUGCGUCGUAGUCCGGAUCGGAGUCUGCAACUCGACUCCGUGAAGUCGGAUCGAGAGUGUGAUCGUGGAUCAGAAUGCCACGGUGAAUACGUUCCCGGGCCUUGUACACACCGCCCGUCACACCAUGGGAGUGGGUUGCAAAAGAAGU
RNAcentral lists this ribosomal RNA (333 nucleotides) under Pantoea sp. RNAcentral's name for it is "bacterial SSU rRNA". It matches the Rfam family "Bacterial small subunit ribosomal RNA", at positions 1096 to 1427 of the family's 1533-position model. Lineage: Bacteria; Pseudomonadati; Pseudomonadota; Gammaproteobacteria; Enterobacterales; Erwiniaceae. The record is from RNAcentral.